UAUAUUACUUUGACACCAUCCAUGAAACUCCACUUAUAUUAUCAUAUAUGUAACUAAUUAUCUAAAAGUAUAUUAUUUAUAUCCAUAAAAAAUGAAGAACGAGUAGAAUGUCUGAAGUGUUGGUAUGGGAGCUGUUCUGCCACCAAUAGGUAGAAAAGUCCCAUUACUCCGGUGUGCUCCUUGGUGCUGUUGUAGUUAGACUCUAGAGUUAAAGUUUCACCAUCAAUAAUCUUGACAGAACCUGGUUUAGGAUAACAAGUGGACAUUCCUACAAUGUAUCCCGCUUCAUUUCCUGCUUCGCUUCCAUUUCCAUAACUUGGUAUAGAGGAACAUAUAACCCUUCCAUCCUGAAAACAUAAUCCACAAAUUUCACAAAACAAGCCACUACACAAUGUUUAACUUCUUGAUCAAAAGUAAAAUUGUUAGAAUAGCAACUCCGGUUCAAAAGUAAACAGAUAUGAAAAACACAAAAAGAGAACAUACGAAAUUCGAUAAUGGCGUUCGGUCAAUUAUGUCUACCGUUUAGUUUAACAUAUUACAACUCGUGUAUAAAUACUAAGGUCAAGUUUACAAGAUAGCCCUUGAACCAUACCCGUGUUAAUAAACUCAACAAAAAGAAACAUUGACGGUCCUCAAUAGCUAAUAAAUCAAACUAUUUUCUUGUUAGCUAAACAUUUCUUACUAUCAAUUGAAAACAAUCACGUGCUAAGACUAAAAAAAAAGGUGAUAAUUUAUAGUUUAUUUUUAGAGGAAGAAUCAUUAUUAGAAAAUGAUAUAUCAGUUAUACAAUUGUUCUCGAGGGGGUUUGAACUCUGUCUCUUGAAGUCACAAUGUCAAAAUAUUCCCAUUGAGCCGACACCAAGCAUUUAAGAAUGACUUAAGUUACCUGUCCAUAUAGAGUUGAUCCAAUUCCGCCUGAAUGUUGAUGAGCAGCACCAUAGAUCAUAUAGCCACCAGUUUGAAAUGGGAGACUUGUCCUCUUCACAUGAACACAGGAAUUUCCCUCCUUAUGGUCUGUGCUGCAAGAUUCAACUUGAUACUCAUUCUGAAACAAAGAAAACCAUGUUGCUCACUAUAUACCCAAAGUUUUAUGUUUUAGAGUUAAAUUGAGAUUUACACAAACAAAGUACGUGUAUGGAUUCCCUGCAGUCGAGAGACUCUACAUUCAUACAAUCAGUAACACAAUAACUGUUGGAUCAAGAUUGACGAUAAUAAAUUCCAUGCCUGCAGUAUUUUGGAUUUUAGAACAAUCGAAAUCUGUAUAUUUUGUGAAUUGUCUGAUCCUGAUCCAACAGUACACUGAUGGAUUGAUUGCGUGAAUGCAGGGCAUCCCAACUACACGGAACCCAUUUCGACAAACAUGUUUCGUAAUGAAUGCAUUUACCUUGCAGUCAUGAUCUGAGUUCAUUCCUUUUGAAUUAUCUGAUAGUUUCAAAGUAUCAGUAACAUCAAGUAUAUAUAUCUUAACAGGCACUAUAAAAUCAUCCCAAUCAACCCAUUUAACAGUGUAUCUUAAGUAGAGGCUUCUCUUUGGACCCUCAAAACCUUCCUUCAACUUGCACUGUUUAGAAUCAUAACAACAUAACAAACCUCCUUUAUAAUCUGGCCUAAUAGACCUUCCAUAUUCAUCCACUGUAACAUUAUAAAGCUCACACUUACACUCAGUGCACCCUAAUUUAUCCUUUGUGCCUCGCGUAUCGAUGGCAUGAACAUUAAGCAACCAUUUUUCGUGAAACCCUUCUGGAAUCUCUUCAGGAUUGCCUAUCUCUAUACCGAAAGGAUCCGGAAUAUCGGUCGCCGUUCCACGUGUUUCGGAUCCAAGGCCAAAGUAUUGUCCAAGAGUAUUUCCUUGACAUAUGCCACUGUUCCUUAUAAGCACAUUAUCAGAGUUUUGUGUUGCAUGUUUACUUUGAUGAUAUCUUACAACAAGCCAAUGAUGGAGAUAAGUUUCAUGGAGAGGUACAGGAUUCCCUGAUUCGUCAACUACUUCAGCAUUGAAACUCUUGAGUGCUACAUGACCUCUUGGAAAACCAAUAUCAUAAUAAUAUCCAUUGACAACUGAUCCAGGUCCUAGCUCAAAUUUCGGGGACAAAAAUACAGCUGAUUUUAUCUUAGCUUCAGUCUUCAUAGAAGAACCUGAGCAUUGUAUACAUAACAACAGCAGAAACAUUGCCCAUAAUAAUACCAAAUCUCUAGCUACAAAACUCAUGUUGAUCUGUCAGGGAAGAAAUUAUUAGUUAUUAACUAACUAAUUGUUGAUUAAAGACAUACCAAAACAAGAUAAAUAAGCAUGGUUGGAUCUAACACAAAACUGAUUUGUGGAGUGAGGAGUGUCUCUCUUUAUAAACUCUAUUCGUUAGACGUUAUCUUUAGUCUAUCUAUGUGGGACUUGGUUUUUCCAAAACACUGAGUGACCCGAAUCGAUAUGCUCUGAUUUCAUAUUAGAUUUUUAUAUUAGACUUCAUUCAUCCUUACAAAAUCGGUUUAUGAAGUGGGGUGUAAGUCUUUUAUAAACUACUAAAAUCUAAAUUAAUGUUAUGAAUGAAUACAAUUGUGGUGGUCACAGAACAAUUUUAAAACAUUAAUUAUAACAUAAACUUAUGAGCAGACAACUUUUUAUGAUGAAAGUAAAAAGGUUUACCUGGAUAAAUUUAUAGGGAUAUAACAAGCAAUAGGCAGAAACAACAUGUAAGAGAUUGCGUACCUCAAAAAGUUUGACGAAAACUUAGAGUGUGUGUAGGUCGGUAUCAACAUUCAAAGUAUAUUUAUAGAUUAUUAAUGAAUGAAAGUGUACUAAAGAGCCACCUCAUCACGUGAGAACGUUCAACUAAAUCUGUCCUUUCAAACUUGGAGGAGAAGUAAAGUCCAAACGAGGUAUUUGGAUUAAAUUAUUUGUCUGUUUUGUUAUUUCUUCAAUUGGAUAUGCGUUGGAAAAUCUAUGGUCGACAACUUAAGGCAUUCACCACCUAGUCGACACACUUGUUAUGGUUUGGCUAUAGCCGGCCACUCUAGAAUUUAAAAAAAAGAAAAAUGAGAAAUUUCUUUUUUGACGAUUGAAAUUAGUUGUUAAUAUGUUUAGCGAUUGAAAUUGUGAUUGAUAUUUCAAACAUUAAAGUAUAAGAUAUUAAAAAUUGGUCGCUACUUACUGACAAUGUAUACAUUAUACGGUCUAAAAAUUCAAUUUUGAUAUUUUUAUUCAAAAUAGUCUAUCCUAAAAUUAUAAAUUAUACAAUUUAAUUCCAACAAUCACAAUGAUCGCAAAUUUCUAAAAUUAUUAGAAGGGAGUUUUUUUUUUUUAUUUAUUUAAGGACUAGAAGGGAGUUUAUUUCUAGAGUUUAGAGCAUAUAUGAUAUCGAUUAUUAUGAUAAAAUAUAUGUAUUUUAUAUAGCAUUUCCUCUCAAAUGAAAAAACAGAAGAUACAUCAAGAUCACGAAACUUUAAUUCAUCGUUUAAUCUUAAAAUUUAGUAUUUCUACAAGUAUAUUUAAAACAAAAUUUAGAAGAAGAAACUCUAUUAAAAUUUUAGAUAAUUCAACGAGUUUAAAUUAAAGAAUAAGAAUUUAAAUAUGUUGGGUUCAAAUCUGAACAAAAUAAUAAAUAUUAAUAUAACAACUAAUUAUCAAUACAACCUUAACAAAAUAGAAAUUUUUGAGAGAAACUUUAACAAGUUUUUUUUUUUUUUUUUUGACAAAACUUUAACAAUACGGAUUAAACACGGAAACCAAAUACGGAUAAUUAUAGGUAAAUUUAUAAAUGCCCUAUAAAAUAAUUUGAAACAUCCAAAUACGGAUUAAACACGGAAACCAAAUUCUAUGUAUUAUGUUGUCACUUUUAUAUGCUGGGUCAGCCAUGACGUUUUAGAGCGACAACUACAAGGAGGUAGACAAUUUUGUUAGGAAAUAAAAACAAUAUUUUGAAAAGGACAAUAAAUCGAAUCAUCAACAUUUUCCAGGGUACAAAAAUCAAAUAGAAGUGAGAAAGUCAGAGGCACAAUUGGACCAGAGAUGAAUACUAUUGAAAAACAUCAAAACAUACCAAAAGUAUAACAUAACUUAUUUGAAUAAUAUAUCUGUCAAAAGUUCUUUUCAACUUCUAAUUAUAAAAAGUACUAUAUAAGAUAAUUUGGUGAAUGAAAUCCCUCAAAUGAAAAAUAGAGAACAAAAAAAGUAUGUUUGAAGUCAAACUUAAUUUGUUUUACAUUUUUCAUUUUCAAAGACAAAAACAACUUAUAAUUAAAAAAAAGUGUCACGCUAACUUGUGUUUUCAAGAUUACAUUUCUACUUUAAUUUUUUUUUUUUUUUUUUUGACAAAAUGUUUAAUUUUUUAUCAUGUAUCUUUAAGGUACAAGUUAUGCCUUCCGGCACAAGUUACCAUUUACUUUAAAAUAAAUGUCCUCAAAUACAAGAUGCGAGGAAAAUCUAACAGAUUUAAGCUGACUAAGCAAAAAAACAAAUUACGAAAACAAAGCAUCCCAACGAUUACUACGUUCAUUGUAGCACGCAAUCACUUUAACAAAUUGUGCCAUUCUCCAAUCACACAUACAAGACUCAACCUACAUAAUUAUGCAGAUCACUCUAAUGAGAGACCCUGCACAAAUCCUUUCCCAAAAACUUGCAGCCACACUUAAAUAAUUAAACCUUGCACCAAUUACAUAAAUGAAAGUACAUUAGGUUAUGAAAAAGUACUUCUGUUUUAAAUGCAAUUUGUCUACUUCAAACUACACUUAGAAAAUUCACUUUUUCUAAUCUCAUUAGGAUAUGAAAAUUGCAUAAAUUAUGUUGGCUUAAAUGUACUUUUGGUCACCCAAAUUCACUUUUUUUUUUUUUUUUUCUGAAUUUUUCAUCCUCAUAGCAUUUUUGGAUUUAGGUUUGUGGUCUAUCCAUUAAUGACGUGGUAGAGCUUAUAUGGCCCCAUUAAACAUCCAUACUGAUACCAUAAAAAAAGGACCUAAGCAAAAAUAACCUAAAGCAAUGUAUUGUGGCAAAAUUGGUUACUGUUGACGUAUGUUUUCGUAAGCAUAGCUUUCCCUUUCAAGCCAAAUGGAGCUUCUUCAUCAGCUCACAAUUAGGACUCUAAUCAGAUACAUUUCAUACUAAAUGGAAGUCCCUUUUGCAUUACAAUUGCAAUGAAGCAGGUACAUGGUAGAACAAACUUCUCACAUUAUCACAUAGCUAGCUGAAUAGAGAGAAGUGUAAGUAUUCGGUUGCCCUUAACAAUUAAUCACUCAUAUUUUACUUUGAUACCAUCAAUGACACGCCAUUUAUAUUAUGAUUUAAGUAACUAAUUAUCUAAAAGUAUAUUAUUUGUCCAUAAAAAAUGAAGAACGAGUAGAAUGUUCUGCCACCAAUAGGUAGAAAAAUCCCAUUACACCAGUGUGUUCUUGGCUAUUGUUGUAGUUAGACUCUAGAGUUAAAGUUUCACCAUCAAUAAUCUUGAUUGAACCUGGUUUAGGAUAACAUGUGGACAUUCCUACAAUGUAUCCCACUUCAUUUCCUGCUUCGCUUCCAUUUCCAUAACUUGGUUUGGAAGAACAUAUAACCCUCCCAUCCUGAAAACAUAAUCCAUCAAUUUCACAAAACAAGUUAUUGAUCUAUUAUACCAUGUUUAACUUCUUAAACAAACCAGUAUACAAUGAAAACAAGCACCGAUAGUCCUCAACUGCUAAUUAUUCACACCAUUUACUUGUUAAUUAAACAUUUGCUAACCUCAAUCGAAAACUAUUACAUGAACAAAUAGAAGGGAUUAUAUAUAAUCACAAAGUAGUGUUGUCUCGGAGUCCGACUAUACAUCUUUAAUCUCAAGUGUCGGUACUUCCAAGUAUUUAAGAAUUAGUAUAAUCUAUCUUUAACUAUUGGAAAUUACCUGUCCAUAUAGGGUGGAUCCAAUUCCACCUGAAUGCUGAUGUGCAACACCAUAGAUCACAUAUCCACCAGUUUGAAAUGGGAGACUUGUCCUCUUCACAUGAACACACCCAUUUUCCUCCCUAUGGUCUGUGCUGCAAGAUUCAACUUGAUACUCAAUCUGAAACAAAGAAAUCCAUGUUGCUCACUAUGAUACCCAACAAUGGGCUAGUGUUACAUUUAAGAGUUAAAUCGAGAUUGAGACAAAUAAAUUACUAAUUUGGAUUCCUAGCAGCCGAGAGACUCUACAUUCACGCAAUCAGCACAGACUGUUGGACCAAAGAUCAGAAGGUCCUAGAUUUCAAGCUCGGUAUUUUGGAUUUUAAUCAAAAUAAUCAAUAUUCGUAUAUUUUGUGAACUGACUGGUCUUGAUCCAACAUUCAUUGAUGCAUUGACUGUGUGUUUCUUGAUGAAUUCAUUUACCUUGCAAUCAUGAUCAAAGUUCGUUCCUUUUGAGUUAUCUGAUUGUUUCAUACUAUCGGUAACAUCAAUUACAUAUAUCUUAAGAGGCACUAUAAAAUCAUCCCAAUCAACCCAUUUAACAGUGUAUCUUAAGUAGAGGCUUCUCUUUGGACCCUCAAAACCUUCCUUCAACUUGCACUGUGUACAAUCAUAACAACAUAACCAACCUCCUUUAUAAUCUGGCCUUAUAGACCUUCCAUAUUCAUCCACCGUAACAUUAUAAAGCUCGCACUUACACUCAGUGCACCCUAACUUAUCCUCUACGCCACGUGUAUCAAUGGCAUGAACAUUAAGCACCCAUUUAUCCUCGGACCCUUCUGAAACCUCUGCAGGAUUACCUAUCUCUAUACCAAAAGGAUCCGGAAUAUCUGUUGCUGUUCCUCGUGUUUCGGAUCCAAUGCCAAAGUAUUGUCCAAGAGUAUUUCCCUGACAUAUGCCACUGUUCCUCACUUUCACAAUAUUAGAACUUUGAAGCAUCCUUUUGCCAUCAUUUCUUGUGUGUGUGACAUGUUUACUUUGAUGAUAUCUUCCAACACCCCAAUGAUGGAGAUAAGUUUCAUGGAGAGGUAUAGGAUUACCAACUUCAUCAACUACUUCAGCAUUGAAACUCUUGAGUGCAAUAUGACCUCUUGGAAAAUCAAUAUCAUAAUAUUCUUUAUUGAUAACUGAUCCAGGUCCUAACUCGAAUUUUGGGGACAAAAAUACAGCUGAUUUUAUUUUAUUUUCAGCAUUCAAAAAAGAACUUAAGCAUGGUGAGCCAAACAAUAGCAGAAGUAUUGCCACUGAAAAAUGAAACUCUCUAGGUACAAACCACAUGUUGAUCUGCCAGAAAAAUAUUUAUUAGUGAUUCACUAAAUGUUGAUUAAAGAAAUAUUAAAUAGAUACAGAUUGCAACAAUUGUAUUAUUUUCAUAAAAUUUUCUGACAAGAUACUUCAAGAGAAGGCAAUCAGAGAUGAGUAUAAUGAUCAACAGGUAAAUCUAGAGGUAGAAAAUAAAUCACAAAGAGACGUUAAAAAAUUUAAUGUUUUGACUGCUGUUUGCAAAGAAUAUUUUUAAAACCUUAAUUAUGACAUAAACUUAUGACCAAACAUGUUUUGACCAAACAUUUUUUCUUUUUUUUUGAAGGAACCAAACAUGUUUUUUAGAAACAUGAAAUUGGCAGCAGGAGCAUGUAAAAGAAAAGAACAUGAAAUUAAGUUGUGUACCUCAGAAAGAUAAUCUGGAAACGACUCUUAAGUUCUUUGAAGUAUGUUGUAGUCUUUGUGGCUUAAGUUCUAUCUUAAGCAUUUCUUUUUUAUUUUUUUGCUAAUCUAUCUUAAGCAUUUCUUGUUCUUAAUAGAUAGUAUUAAUAUAUUUAUUUCUUUGCCUCUUCAAAAAAAGUAUGCUGUCGUUUUUAUGUGCUGGGUCAGCCAUGAUGUAUUACAGCAACAUUUUUUAGUUUAUCUUGGAGGUAGGUAAGUCAAAGUGAGGUUUAUCUAACUUAACCUUGGUUAUAACCGGUUAUGUCAUUUGUCUUAGAGUUUCAGAGUUGAAUUUUUAAGCAAGGACAAAAGUUAUGGUGCAUAAGCCAUUUCCUUCUGCACAGUUCAUAAACACUUCACAACCAUCAGAUUUCUUUUAUUUUGUGUUUGUCAUUUCUCUCUCUACUCUUUUGAAAAACAAAUUUUCUCUCACUCUCUCUAAGAAACUGAUCUGGGAUGAAGUUUCAUCUUCUACACACCUCCGGCCGCCCUAGGGCAGCGGUGGCGCCGCCGGAGUAUUAGGAAAUGGCUCCGAUUUCAAAAAAAAAUUCACUUUUAAAAAUCAUUUUCCUUCUAUAAUCCAACUUCAGACUCGGUUUUCAGAGAUAAACAACCAAACAGUGUAGAUCUAGGUUUUAACUUUGUUCCCAUUCCUUUCGUUUGCGUUCGAUUUCCUUCUUCUUCUGCUCCUUCGCCGCCGCUUUCUUAUAUGCUUUCUUUGCUUCCCAUCUCUGCUGUCUCGCUAGCUACUUCUUCGUGUUCUUGGGGAGUUCUGAAGUGGGUUGUGAUGGUUCUGGGUUUGGAGGUGGAACUGUGGAUUCGGGUUCGUGAUUUUCACCAUAACUGCACGAAUUUCCGCACCCAUGGGCGGGAUUUACUGCUGGAAACCAUUAAGUACAUCUAAUAGUUUUGGAGUACAACUGCCGGAAACCAUUAAGUAGAUCUAAUGGUUUUCCACGGCAAAAUGGUUUUGGCAUUCCGGUACGGUGAUGCUAACAGUGAUGAUGAUGAACGACGGUGUUGAUGAUGAGAUUUAAGAUUCUGGAAACCAUUUCCACAACAAAAUGGGUUUGUAGUACAACUCACAGAAACCAUUUACACAGCAAAAUGGUUUUGGCAUUCCGGUACGGUGAUGAUGAUCAAUGACGGUGUUGAUGAUGAGAUUGAAGAUUCCAGUGGUGAUGAUGAUGAACGACGGUGAUAAUUCAGUUUGUUUUCACGUUUUGUUUGUUUUGUUUUGUUUGGUUUUCUUUGGGGGUGUAGGAAACAAUUAUGUUGGGAUUUAUGCACCAUAACCGAUCUCAUUUUUAAGUGGUGAUGGAAAACGUUAUAUUUAUCUUUUUUUUUUUAAAGAAACAAACUCAAUUCAUUUCAUUAUAAAUCAUGGACCAGAUACAUGACAGUACAUCAUUGUAGAGGUGGGAGCUAGCAUUACAUAUGCUAUCUUUGAUAGUUCAUGAGCGACCCUGUUAGCUUGCCUCUGCCUAAACUUGACAUGAGAAUUUAGAAAAUUGUUUUGAAACAAUUGCUUACAGACAUAUAUAAUACAACCGAACUCAGUGACAUCAUUUAUACAUGUUCUAAAGGAAUCAACAACCUUCUUAGAAUCUAACACAAAGUCUACAUUAUCAAACUGAAGGUUUGCCACCCAAUCAAGUGUCGUACAUAAACUCAUUGCUUCACCCGCAUUGACGUCACAAAGCGGGGAGAACCAGGUACUUUUUGCAAGCAUAAAAUUACCCUCUUCGCCUCUAAGACAUUCCAAGUCCUACCUUAUUAAGCGACGAGGAGAACGAGGCAUCUAUUUUUCAUUUAUACCUUCUAGGGGCCGGUUUUACCCAUUGUUACCAAGCUAUAAGAGUCGGCCCAUGUGGAUCAGAACUAGAGGGAGUUACACUACCUAAACGAAUGACUUGUGCAUGUCUCCAUUCAUCCAUCAACUACUUUGCACGCUCUAUAACCUGCACAUUAGUCUCGUUAGUUUGUUGCCAAAGUUUCAGGUUUCUGUGUUCCCAUAGGCUCCAUAGUAUUGCUGCAAAAUUUUCACUCUGUAUUGGAGUAAGUUGUUGCUACAAAGUAAAAAUAACAGAAUUCAUAUUAUAAUCCUGACGAAGCACACGAUCAAUCUUAUCCCAUAAAUUCACGGCAUGCCAAACUUGCACAGCACUCAAGCAUUCCAAUAAAACAUGAAUGAUGUCCUCGUAAUUAUUUCUACAAAUUACACAUUCGGUUGGACAAGACACACCUCUACUACUACGUUGUGCUCGAGUGGGGAAACGAAACAGCCCAGACACACGCCACAAGAGAUUUUUUAUCUUGGGGGGAGAUUUAAUGUUCCAAAUUAAGUCCCAACGACCAGAUUUAUGCAAAUGAAUAUUGUCAACAAUUUCAUUCAUACAUAUUCUGUAAGCACUGCGAACGAAAUACCUACCAUUUUUUCAGCCUUUCCAAACCAAUUUUUCACAGUCAAAUGGGCAGUAUGUUGAUCAAAUAAGUUAUAAAUUAAAAGAGCAUUUCAUACUCUUUGCUGCUCUCUUUCACAUCGUUCACAUUCAAUGGGAAACAUGGUUACUUAUCUAAACAUUUCUCUCUCAAGUUUACUUUACUAUUAUGGUUUUUUGGGAGUUUCUUCGCUGCUCUCUUUCACAAUGCCUCCAGUUCUUCUUCUUUCACUAAUUUUUUCCUUCCCACAGUUGUUACAUGGUAGAACAGACUUCUAGCAUAGCCAUAUGAAACAAUAUAGUGGAUUCAGCCAAAAUUACAAAUUUGUUUUUCUCCUAUAGCUAGCUGAAUACACAGAAAUGUAAAUUAUUCAGUUACCCUUUUCAAUCAUCAUGUCUUUAUUCAUCUUUGAUAAAUCAAUCAUAUUUUACUUUGAUACCAUCAAUGACACGCUAUUUAUAUUAUCAUAUGUGUAACUAAUUAUCUGAAAACUUUACAUCCACUACAAAAGAAGAACGAGAAGUAAGUCUAAGUUGUUGGUAUGGGAGUUGUUCUGCCACCAAUAGGUAGAAAAGUCCCAUUACUCCAGUGUGCUCCCUGGUGCUGUUGUAGUUAGACUCUAGGGUUAAAGUUUCACCAUCAAUAAUCUUGACAGAACCUGGUUUAGGAUAACAUGUGGACAUUCCUACAAUAUAGGUUGCCUCAUUUCCUGCUUCAUUUCCGGUUCCAUAACUUGGUAUAGAAGAACAUAUAACCCUCCCAUCCUGAAAACAUAAUCCACAAAUAUCACAAAACUAGUAAAUGUAAAAAAUACAGUGGUUACUUCUUGAUCAAAAGUAUAAGAAACACUGAUAGUACUAAAUUGCAAAUAUAUGAUGCUAUUCUCUUCUUUGUUAAACAUUUUCUACCCUUGAUUGAAAACUAUUACAUGAACAAAUAGAGGUGAUUAUAUAUGAUAAAAAAUGUCAAUAUUGUCUCGGUGUCCGACACUACGACACAUCUUUAAUCUCAAGUAUCAAUGCUAUAUUAGGUGUAAAUAUAGAAUCCCUCUUAAGGGGCAGAAUCAUGAUUGAUUAUACCCUUCCAGAUUGUAGUGGGAGACUUGUCCUUUUCACAUGAACACACCCAUUUCCCUCCUAUUGAUCUGUGCUGCAAGAUUCAACUGAUACUCAACCUGAAACAAAGAAAUCUACGUUGCUCGCAAUAUACCUAACAAACUACUGGACUAGUGUUAUAUAUGUUUUAAGAGUUAAACUAAGAUUGAGAAAAACAAACAAUGAGCAUGGAUUCCCUGCAGUCGUGAAACUCUACAUUCAGGCAAUCAUCGCAACAAUCACUGAUUAAUUGACUAACUAAAUGCUGAGUAUAUUCUACUACACGGAAUCUAUUUCCACAAACUAAAUGUUUCUUGAUGAAUGCAUUUACCUUGCAAUCAUGAUCUGAUUUCAUUCCUUUUGAAUCAUCUGAUAGUUUCAAACUACCAGUGACAUCAAUUAUAUAUAUCUUAACGGGCACUAUAAAAUCAUCCCAAUCAACCCACUUUACUGUGCAUCUUAAGUAAAGGCUUCUCUUAGGUCCUUCGAAACCUUCCUUCAACUUGCACCGUGUAGAAUCAUAACAACAUAACAAACCUCCUUUAUAAUCUGGCCUAAUAGAUUUUCCAUACUCAUCCACUGUAACAUUAUAAAGGUCACACUUACAUUCAGUGCACCCUAAUUUAUCCUCUGUGCCACGCGUAUCGAUGGCAUGAACAUUAAGCAACCAUUUCUCCUCAAACCCUUCUGGAAUCUCUUCAGGACUACCUGUCUCUAUACCAAAAGGAUCUGGAAUAUCUGUUGUCGUUCCUCGUGUUUCUGAUCCAAGGCCAAAGUAUUGUGGAAUGGUAUUUCCCUGGCAUAUGCCACUGUUCCUUACAAGAACAUGAUCAUAGUUUUGAAGCAUCAUGUGGCUACCAUCUUCUGUGUGUGUGACAUAUUUUCUUUGAUAAUGUCAUUCAACAAGCCAAUGAUGGAGAUAGGUUUCAUGGAGGGGUAUAGGAUUACCAUCUUCAUCAACAACUUCAGCAUUGAAACUCUUGAGUGCUAUAUGAUCACUUGGAAAAUCAAUAUAAUAAUAAAAUCUAUUGAUAACUGAUCCAGGUCCAAGUUCAAACUUAGGGGACAGAAAAACAGCUGAUUUUAUUUUAUUUUCAGUCUUCUCAAAAGAACUUAAGCAUGGUGUGCCAAACAAUAAUAGAAGUAUUGCUACUGACAAUUCAAAAUCUCUAGGUACAAACCACAUGUUGAUGAUCUGCCAGAAAAAUAUUUACAAGUAAUUAACUAAUUUUUUAUUAAAGAAAUAUUAAACAGAUGCAGAAUCAAGCUUUCAUUAAACAAGGAAGACAAUGUUUGCAAAUUGCACAUGCACAACAAUAUUAAAAAAGGCAAGAUAAACUACACAAAUAUGCAUGAAAAAACAUAGUUUGAACACAAUCAAUACGGAGCAAAAGCAUGCAGAAGAGAAGAUGGAAUGGCUUGAGUUGCGUUCCUCAGAAAGAUAGUUUGGAAAUGGCAGAGUUGAGCUUUGUUUGACGAGAAAACUAGCUACUAUUCGAAGUAUUUUUAUAUAGAAAAUGUACCUGAGACCCACCUCAUCAUCAUCACAUGAUAAUGUUCUUCACAAUCUUUCAUUUCACACUCGGGAAAGCAAUAUCAGAAUUUAUUAUUAGCAUGACUUCUUCAUUCUUUCAUUUUAAUAUAGGUCUAUACUUGUACCGCUCAAAGUAAUGGGAAAGUCUAUGUCAAUGUUUCAUAAAUAAAUUCAAUUGUUGAUAUUAUAUUACAUGUAUUAUAUCACAUGUAUUUCUUAUUAUGGGCUUUGAAAAUAUCAUAUCACAUGUAUUAUAUUAUUUGUUUGUAAAAAAAGUAUUAGUAUAUUAUAUUAUAUUUUUACCUCUUUUUAAUUGCAUUUUCUUUUUAUAUAUAGAGAAAGAAUGAAUGUUUUUAGCUUUUGAUAUAAUUAUAUCUUUUUCUUGUAGUCGUCAAAAAGAAUUUCUUUUUUUCUUUCUAAUAAUGGAAUUGCAUUAACUACUCAAACGGAUGGAAUUUGCACCAAGGGAAUCAUUACAUAUGAGAAUAUCUAACAAAGAUUUCUCUAUUACAGCUAAGUAGAAUGAGCUCGAUAUGCAAGAUGGUUUGCACAUUUAUUUGCAUCGCAGUUAAUAUGAUAUAACUCAAGUGCAUAUUUGGAGUAUGGUGCAAGUACAUGGCAGAUAAGAAAUAUUGGUAUAACCAUGUUGAAUCGUAUUCAUCGCUACUUUGAAAUCAAAUUCAAUUAACACGUGUAUUAGGUGCUGAGAUUGAACAAGUCCAAAGCCGGAAAGAAUUGUCCACGGCUCAGUUGAAAGUUUAUUUGAAGAGGUAAUUUAAAGCAUAAAAUCAUACACAAAUUUACCUUGUUGGUCACGAAUCAAGCCACCACAAGCCAAGCUUCCGACGCUGGUAAAAUAUGAUCCAUCUACAUUGAGUUUGAGUCGUCCAAGAGGAUGGAUCAAAUUAUGCUUCUGAUGUGCAUUGUGGAUUUCCUCUAUAUGUCUUGGGCAGUUGCAACUCAAUUACAAACAAGAUCAUGAACAAGAUUUUUAACUGAAUUUCAUAGCUUAUCUCCCGUAUCUAAUUGAUAAUGUAGAUUUUUACCCUAUUCAUUGUGAAUAUUUUUAUGGGUAUCUAUUAGGUACGAGUCCAAUUGUCAUCCAUAAGAUGUGUUCUAAAGUUACAUGCUAAGAAAUUCAAUUUAGAAUAUAUAAUUAUGAAAGAUAUGUACAUUUAAUUCUUUAAAGUUUACAAAUUUUUCAUUUCAAUACAAAAUUUAUACUUUGUCAAAAAAACAAAAAAAAAAUACAAAAUUUAUACUUUUAUAUUCUUUAAUAUCUAUCUUUAAGGUCCAGUUAACAAGACCCUAAAAUAUAUACAUUUUAUAUAACACUUCCUCUCAUAGAAAGAAAGGGAAAAAAAAAAUCAAGAUCACGACUUUUUAUUCAUUUUUUAAUCUUAAUAUUAUAUUUUAAAUAUUAUUUUAUAUUAAAUAUUUUUAUACUCACUUGUAUGAUGAUUAAAAAUUGGUAUUUGAGGGGAAAAAACAUCUUAAAAUUUAGAAAGAUAAAUAUCUAGUACAAUAAUAUCCUAUUAAAAGAAAGAGUAAUUCACAAUAUAUGUUUAUAUUAAUUUAUUAUGAAUGGCUUCCUGAUUAUUGUCACAAUUGUGCUACAAUUGGUCAUGACAUUGGUCGAUGUAAGUGGUUGCAUAAAAAUCAGAAUGUUUCCAACUAGGUUGCUAAGAAACAAAAAGUUGAAAAUAGAAACUAUAAGGAGAUGCAUUCCAAGCUGGAAAUGAAAAGGUUUGCAAGGGUAAGACAUUAUCUCGUGACGAUACUGUGCAACAUCCUCAGCGGGCUAGACAACAUGAGGCUGCACAAACUUAGCCUCAGAUUGUCUUGCAACAAUUGACUAAUGAUAUUGUGCAACCAACACGAUGUAGCAAAAUUGUUGUAGAUGAGGACCCACUUAUCUUAGAUAUAAUAAGGUCCAAAUAUAUGACAAUUAUUGUGCAUGUGGGAGAUGCUAUUGAGUUGGUGGAAGAGGCAUUUUCUAUAGCUGUUGAAACUCUUCUUGUGCAGCCUGUGCAGGUGAAACACACCUUAGUUCAUGAUUGUGAGAUUGUGAAACAUAACGGGGACCAACAGAGGAAUUCUUUGUGUAUCAAUGUCCCUUGGUGUGAUGCGGCGACCAAUAUGGACUACAGUCAGGAUCACACACGAAGUGAAUUUGAGCAGGAAUUGGGAACUGAUAGUUCCAUAGUUGUGACAGACUCUAACUUGUCAAACUUUAGUGCUAAUGUAAUUCAUGAAAUGCAAGUUUUAAGGGCUUAUUCCUACCGUAACCCAACAAGCUAUGGAUUUUCUAAGUGAUUCCUCGUUUAACAUGGGUCAGAAAGAAGAUACUGUUGAUUUGACAGGAAACACAAGUCAGCCAUUUCAAUUGGUGGAACAUAGAAAGAGGGAGAACAAGACGCAGCAGCCUCAUACGAGCAAAGGGUUCAAGAUGGGUGAUUCCAGCUGUUCGCAUCGCUAGUUCUUUGAUGGGAGUUCACUUUCAUACUUUUUAGGCCUUUUAACUGUUUUAGUUCUUUUUCCGCUUUUGUUUUUCUAGAGGGUUUUGGUUUAAUCACCCUUCCCUCUUUAUACUUUCUUUCUUUAUUUUAAUCUAUGAUCAGGAUUCUGCAGUAGGUGAUCCCUCUGCACCUCAUAUAGUAUAUUGUCGCUUUAUAUGCUGGGUCAGCCAUAUGAACCAAAAAAUAGUGAAUUAAGCCAAAAAUACAAAUUUGUUUUUCUCCUAUAUCUAGCAGAAUACACAGAGAAGUGUAAUUAUUCAGUUACCCUUUCCAAUCAUGUCUUUAUUCAUCUUUGAUAAAUCGAUCAUAUCUUACCAUAAUACCAUCAAUGACACGCCACUUAUAUCAUCAUAUAUGUAACUAACUAUCAGAAAAAUUUACGUCGGCGACAAAAGAAGAACGAGAAAAAAGUCUGAGUUGUUGAUAUGGGAGCUGUUCUGCCACCAAUAUGUAGAAAAGCCCCAUUACUCCGGUGUGCUCCUUGGUGCUGUUGUAGUUAGACUCUAGAGUCAAAGUUUCACCAUCAAUUAUCUUAACAGAACCUGGUUUAGGAUAACAUGUGGACAUUCCUACAAUGUAGCCUGAUUCAUUUCCUGCUUCACUUCCCUUUCCGUAAUUUGGUAUAGAAGAACAUAUAACCCUCCCAUCCUGAAAACAUAAUCCACAAAUUUCACAAAAC
This 15871-nucleotide long non-coding RNA is filed under the name Medicago truncatula (barrel medic). RNAcentral's name for it is "long non-coding RNA (MTRU_LNC002246)". The record is from RNAcentral. Lineage: Eukaryota; Viridiplantae; Streptophyta; Magnoliopsida; Fabales; Fabaceae.